Molecule: ribosomal RNA, 897 nt
Filed under: uncultured bacterium
Lineage: Bacteria
Description: bacterial SSU rRNA
Rfam family: Bacterial small subunit ribosomal RNA
Source: RNAcentral
AGAGUUUGAUCCUGGCUCAGGAUGAACGCUAGCUACAGGCUUAACACAUGCAAGUCGAGGGGAAACGACAUCGAAAGCUUGCUUUUGAUGGGCGUCGACCGGCGCACGGGUGAGUAACGCGUAUCCAACCUGCCCACCACUUGGGGAUAACCUUGCGAAAGUAAGACUAAUACCCAAUGACGUCUCUAGAAGGCAUCUGAAAGAGAUUAAAGAUUUAUCGGUGAUGGAUGGGGAUGCGUCUGAUUAGCUUGUUGGCGGGGUAACGGCCCACCAAGGCUACGAUCAGUAGGGGUUCUGAGAGGAAGGUCCCCCACAUUGGAACUGAGACACGGUCCAAACUCCUACGGGAGGCAGCAGUGAGGAAUAUUGGUCAAUGGACGAGAGUCUGAACCAGCCAAGUAGCGUGCAGGAUGACGGCCCUAUGGGUUGUAAACUGCUUUUAUAAGGGAAUAAAGUGAGUCUCGUGAGACUUUUUGCAUGUACCUUAUGAAUAAGGACCGGCUAAUUCCGUGCCAGCAGCCGCGGUAAUACGGAAGGUCCGGGCGUUAUCCGGAUUUAUUGGGUUUAAAGGGAGCGUAGGCCGGAGAUUAAGCGUGUUGUGAAAUGUAGAUGCUCAACAUCUGCACUGCAGCGCGAACUGGUUUCCUUGAGUACGCACAAAGUGGGCGGAAUUCGUGGUGUAGCGGUGAAAUGCUUAGAUAUCACGAAGAACUCCGAUUGCGAAGGCAGCUCACUGGAGCGCAACUGACGCUGAAGCUCGAAAGUGCGGGUAUCGAACAGGAUUAGAUACCCUGGUAGUCCGCACGGUAAACGAUGGAUGCCCGCUGUUGGUCUGAAUAGGUCAGCGGCCAAGCGAAAGCAUUAAGCAUCCCACCUGGGGAGUACGCCGGCAACGGU